GUGAUAUAGAGCAAAACCCUAAAAAACGGUCUCAGUUCGGAUUGAAGGCUGAAAUUCGCCUUCAUGAAGCUGGAAUUGCUAGUAAUGGCAGGUCAGCAUACUGCCGUGAAUACGUUCCCGGGCCUUGUACACGCCGCCCGUCACACCAUGAGAGUUGGGAAUACCCGAAGCCUGUGAGCUAACAUAUGAGGCAGCAGUCGAAGGUAGAAUCAAUGAUUGGGGUGAAGUCGUAACAAGGUAUC
RNAcentral lists this ribosomal RNA (242 nucleotides) under uncultured bacterium. RNAcentral describes it as "partial 16S ribosomal RNA". It matches the Rfam family "Bacterial small subunit ribosomal RNA", at positions 1257 to 1500 of the family's 1533-position model. The record is from RNAcentral.